AUUGAACGCUGGCGGCAGGCCUAACACAUGCAAGUCGAACGAGUGGCGGACGGGUGAGUCAUUUCUUGGACACUGCCUGAUGGAGGGGGCUAACUACUGGAAACGGUAGCUAAUACCGCAUACCACCAUUUCUGCCCAGAUGGGAUUCGCUUGUUGGUGGGGUAACGGCUCACCAAGGCGACGAUCCCUAGCUGGUCUGAGAGGAUGACCAGCCACACUGGAACGGAGACACGGUCCAGACUCCUACGGGAGGCAGCAGUGGGGAAUAUUGGACAAUGGGCGCAAGUCUGAGGAAGCCAUGCCGCGUGUAUGAAGAAGGCCUUCGGGUUGUAAAGUACUUUCAGCGGGGAGGCGUUACCCGCAGAAGAAGCACCGGCUAACUCCGUGCCAGCAGCCGCGGUAAUUC
RNAcentral lists this ribosomal RNA (406 nucleotides) under uncultured bacterium. RNAcentral describes it as "partial 16S ribosomal RNA". It matches the Rfam family "Bacterial small subunit ribosomal RNA", at positions 30 to 526 of the family's 1533-position model. The record is from RNAcentral.